Drosophila arizonae is the source of this 167-nucleotide long non-coding RNA. The record is from RefSeq and is a predicted model, not a curated record. NCBI's taxonomy places the organism in Eukaryota, Metazoa, Arthropoda, Insecta, Diptera, Drosophilidae.
AGGAGGAGGAGGAGGAGGAGGAGGAGGAGAAAUAAAAGUGGGUGAAUUUGCAAAAGAUGAAAAUACGUGCGGAGUGAAUGUGUGCCAGAAUACCGAGGGUGACGCUAUAGUACUUUACUGCCAGAAACCGGCCCCGUUCGAAAUGUGUAAUACCGAUGGAGUCUCCA